CGCCUCUUGCUAAAACAAAAAUAUAAGAGGUCCCGCCUGCCCUGUGACUAUAUGUUUAACGGCCGCGGUAUUUUGACCGUGCGAAGGUAGCGCAAUCACUUGUCUCUUAAAUGGGGACCUGUAUGAAUGGCAUAACGAGGGCUUGACUGUCUCCUCUUUCAAGUCAAUGAAAUUGAUCUUCCCGUGCAGAAGCGGGAAUAAGCACAUAAGACGAGAAGACCCUAUGGAGCUUUAGACACGAAAGCAGAUCAGCAUUAAUACCCCCAACACGGGGCACGAAUAAACUGAACCCUGCUCUAAUGUCUUAGGUUGGGGCGACCGCGGAGAAAUAAAAAACCCCCGCAAGGACCGAAUGUACUACAUUCACAACCAAGAGUGACAGCUCUAAUUAACAGAUACUUCUGACCAAUAAGAUCCGGCAACGCCGAUCAAUGGACCAAGUUACCCUAGGGAUAACAGCGCAAUCUCCUCUUAGAGCCCGUAUCAACGAGGAGGUUUACGACCUCGAUGUUGGAUCAGGACAUCCUAAUGGUGCAGCCGCUAUUAAGGGUUCGUUUGUUCAACGAUUAAAGUCCU
RNAcentral lists this ribosomal RNA (576 nucleotides) under Epinephelus fasciatomaculosus (rock grouper). RNAcentral describes it as "partial 16S ribosomal RNA". It matches the Rfam family "Bacterial large subunit ribosomal RNA", at positions 1816 to 2597 of the family's 2925-position model. The record is from RNAcentral. Lineage: Eukaryota; Metazoa; Chordata; Actinopteri; Perciformes; Serranidae.